CUAGUGGUUAGGGGGAGGUGGGGUAGCCUAGUGGUUAGGGGAGGUGGGGUAGCCUAGUGGUUAGAGGGGGAGGCGGGGUAGCCUAGUUGUUAGAGGAGGCAGGUAGCCUAGUGGUUUGGGGGUGGCAGGGUAGCCUAGUGGUUAGGGGAGGAGGGGUAGUCUAGUGGUUAGGGGAGGUGGGGUAGCCUAGUGGUUAGAGGGGGGGAGGCAGGUAGCCUAGUGGUUAGAGGAAGCGGGGUAGCCUAGUGGUUAGGGGAGGCGGGGUAGCCUAGUGGUUAGGGGAGGCGGGGUAGCCUAGUGGUUAGGGGAGGCGGGGUAGCCUAGUGGUUAGGGGUGGCGGGGUAGCCUAGUGGUUAGGGGUGGCGGGGUAGCCUAGUGGUUAGGGGAGGUGGGGUAGCCUAGUGGUUAGGGGAGGCGGGGUAGCCUAGUGGUUAGGGGUGGCGGGGUAGCCUAGUGGUUAGAGGGGGGAGGCAGGUAGCCUAGUGGUUAGGGGUGGCGGGGUAGCCUAGUGGUUAGGGGAGGCGGGGUAGCCUAGUGGUUAGGGGAGGCGGGGUAGCCUAGUGGUUAGGGGAGGUGGGGUAGCCUAGUGGUUAGGGGAGGCGGGGUAGCCUAGUGGUUAGGGGAGGCGGGGUAGCCUAGUGGUUAGGGAUGGCGGGGUAGCCUAGUGGUUAGGGGAUGCGGGGUAGCCUAGUGGUUAGGGGAGGUGGGGUAGCCUAGUGGUUAGGGGAGGCAGGUAGCCUAGUUGUUAGAGGGGGGAGGCGGGGUAGCCUAGUGGUUAGGGGAGGUGGGGUAGCCUAGUGGUUAGAGGGGGAGGCGGGGUAGCCUAGUGGUUAGAGGGGAGAGGCGGGGUAGCCUAGUGGUUAGGGGAGGAGGGGUAGCCUAGUUGUUAGAGGAGGCAGGUAGCCUAGUGGUUAGGGGUGGUGGGGUAGCCUAGUGGUUAGAGGGGGAGGCGGGGUAGCCUAGUGGUUAGAGGGGAGAGGCGGGGUAGCCUAGUGGUUAGGGGAGGAGGGGUAGCCUAGUUGUUAGAGGAGGCAGGUAGCCUAGUGGUUAGGGGUGGUGGGGUAGCCUAGUGGUUAGGGGAGGAGGGGUAGCCUAGUGGUUAGAGGGGAGAGGCGGGGUAGCCUAGUGGUUAGGGGUGGCGGGGUAGCCUAGUGGUUAGAGGGGGGAGGCGGGGUAGCCUAGUGGUUAGAGGAGGCAGGGUAGCCUAGUGGUUAGAGGGGAGAGGCGGGGUAGCCUAGUGGUUAGGGGAGGCGGGGUAGCCUAUUGGUUAGGGGAGGCGGGGUAGCCUAGUGGUUAGAGGGGGGAGGCGGGGUAGCCUAGUGGUUAGGGGAGGUGGGGUAGCCUAGUGGUUAGAGGGGGAGGCGGGGUAGCCUAGUUGUUAGAGGAGGCAGGUAGCCUAGUGGUUAGGGGUGGCAGGGUAGCCUAGUGGUUAGGGGAGGAGGGGUAGUCUAGUGGUUAGGGGAGGUGGGGUAGCCUAGUGGUUAGGGGAGGUGGGGUAGCCUAGUGGUUAGGGGAGGCGGGGUAGCCUAGUGGUUAGGGGAGGCGGGGUAGCCUAGUGGUUAGGGGAGGCGGGGUAGCCUAGUGGUUAGGGGAGGUGGGUAGCCUAGUGGUUAGGGGUGGCGGGGUAGCCUAGUGGUUAGGGGAGGAGGGGUAGCCUAGUGGUUAGAGGAGGAGGGGUAGCCUAGUGGUUAGAGGAGGUGGGUAGCCUAGUGGUUAGGGGAGGAGGGGUAGUCUAGUGGUUAGGGGAGGUGGGGUAGCCUAGUGGUUAGAGGGGGAGGCGGGGUAGCCUAGUGGUUAGGGGUGGCAGGGUAGCCUAGUGGUUAGGGGAGGAGGGGUAGUCUAGUGGUUAGGGGAGGUGGGGUAGCCUAGUGGUUAGAGGGGGGAGGCAGUUAGACUAGUGGUUAGAGGAAGCGGGGUAGCCUAGUGGUUAGGGGAGGUGGGUAGCCUAGUGGUUAGGGGAGGCGGGGUAGCCUAGUGGUUAGGGGUGGCGGGGUAGCCUAGUGGUUAGGGGUUGCGGGGUAGCCUAGUGGUUAGGGGAGGUGGGGUAGUCUAGUGGUUAGGGGAGGCGGGGUAGCCUAGUGGUUAGAGGAGGUGGGGUAGCCUAGUGGUUAGAGGAGGUGGGGUAGCCUAGUGGUUAGGGGAGGCAGGGUAGCCUAGUGGUUAGAGGAGACGGGGUAGCCUAGUGGUUAGAGGAGGCGGGGUAGCCUAGUGGUUAGAGGAGGCGGGGUAGCCUAGUGGUUAGGGGAGGCAGGGUAGCCUAGUGGUUAGGGGUAAGGGGGAGCCUAGUGGUUAGAGGGGGGAGGCAGGUAGCCUAGUUUUUAGGGGGUGGCGGGGUAGCCUAGUGGUUAGUGGAGGCGGGGUAGCCUAGUGGUUAGGGGAGGCGGGGUAGCCUAGUGGUUAGGGGAGGCGGGGUAGCCUAGUGGUUAGGGGAGGUGGGGUAGCCUAGUGCUUAGGGGUGGCGGGGUAGCCUAGUGGUUAGGGGAGGUGGUGUAGCCUAGUGGUUAGGGGAGGUGGGGUAGCCUAGUGGUUAGGGGAGGCGGGGUAGCCUAGUGGUUAGGGGAGGCGGGGUAGCCUAGUGGUUAGGGGAGGUGGGGUAGCCUAGUGGUUAGGGGAGGUGGGUAGCCUAGUGGUUAGGGGUGGCGGGGUAGCCUAGUGGUUAGUGGAGGUGGGUAGCCUAGUGGUUAGGGGUGGCGGGGUAGCCUAGUGGUUAGGGGUGGCGGGGUAGCCUAGUGGUUAGAGGGGGGAGGCAGGUAGCCUAGUGGUUAGAGGGGGGAGGCAGGUAGCCUAGUGGUUAGAGGGGGAGGCAGGGUAGCCUAGUGGUUAGGGGCGGCGGGGUAAAAGCGUUGGACUAGUAACCGAUAGGUUGCUCGAUGGAAUCCCCGAGCUGACAAGGUAAAAAUCUGUCGUUCUGCUCCUGAACAAGGCAGUUAACCCACUGUUGCCCCCGUAGGCCGUCAUUGAAAAUAAGAAUUUGUUCUUAACUGACUUGCCUAGUAAAAUAAUUAUUUUUAAAUAAAUGUGUAUGCAGAAAUAAAAAGCACUGGGGAGCAGCAUUAUAACAUGUGCCAGCCAUCCAGUCCUUUAGUAUGUCUUAGCUCCAGUAUUCUCCAGUUUUAGGAUUAGCAUAUCAGUCUCCUUUUUCUUCAUGCGUUGAUGUGAGGUCUUCCUAGCUACAGAUCAGGAAGUAUUACAGUCUGGGACGGUAUUGUUAUCAUUGCCAAAUGCCUUGGGGAAGCUCUCUCUCUCUCUGUACUCCUGAACCCUGUACAUGACACCUGUGAUCAUUAUUACAACUUAAACCCUGUGAAUCACACAGAAAUGAUAACUCCAGUCAUACGGUAAUGCUGAUGACUCCGAUAUCCCCUUUAGAUGAAGACACACGGAUACACGCUACACACACACACACACACAGGAGAUGAACUCCCGGGGACCUCUCUCUGAUGAUGAAGGGAUGAUUCAACCAUCCCAGCAGCUCUCUCUUCACUUCACCGCUGCACACACACACUGCACACACACACACACACACCGCACACAUAUUGCACAGACACACACACUGCACACACGUUGCACACACACACACACUGCACACACAUUGCACACACACACACACACACACACACUGCAUACACACACACCACACACACUGCACACACAUACACACACACACACACACACACACUUCACAGACACACACACUACAUACAAACUACCUACACACACACUUCACACUACACACAACACUACACACAACACACU
This 3756-nucleotide long non-coding RNA is filed under the name Salmo salar (Atlantic salmon). RNAcentral's name for it is "lncRNA (ENSSSAG00000090718.1)". The record is from RNAcentral. Lineage: Eukaryota; Metazoa; Chordata; Actinopteri; Salmoniformes; Salmonidae.